CCGAGACACCAGUCGGACAUUUUGUUUCGGAGUUUAGGUAGAAAACGGAGAGCAAGGAGGCUGCGCGGAAUCGUGUUUUGCACAAUUAAACUGGUCCUUUUCGAUUGAAAAGGAUAAUAAACGACAUCUUACUUCGGUAUCUCGAACGCUGACAAGCCAGGAGACUGUUUUUUCCCCCCCAUUUGUUUGCCUUUUAAAUUGCCGCAUAGAACAAUAGGGUUUGUAGAAACCAUUCAUUGCAAGCGUGGUUGGUCAGGGCCUACGUGUUUGCGAAAUAAUUUUAAAACAAAGCGAACUGUCAUCGAAUUGUUUUUUUUUUUUGUUUGUUUGUUUGUUUUUUAUUGCUUAAAGCUCUUUUGAUACCUGGGGCAUAAUUAUUAUUUACAAUAAUAAUAAAAAAAAAAAAAAAACUGAAAAGUUGGUCGGGUUGCAGCAUUCAUCAUUUAGAUCUUGUGAUUGCGGGGUGAACGUUGUGUAGCUCAUUUAGGGUAAAAAUGGCAGAGUUAUAUAUACGGGUAGCGGAGGAUGAAAACGAGGAACCGAUGGAGAUCCCCUCGGAGGACGAUGGCACGGUGUUACUUUCCACGGUAGCAGCGCAGUUCCCCGGGGCCUGUGGUCUGAGGUACAGGAACCCGGUCUCCCAGUGUAUGAGAGGGGUCCGUGUGAUGGAGGGGGUUUUGCAAGCACCGGAGACCGGCUGGGGAAAUUUGGUCUACGUUGUCAACUAUCCAAAGGAUAACAAAAGAAAAAUGGAAGAAAUUGAUGCCUCAUCUGCAGUGAAGAUAAAGAGGGCAGAACUGAAGACCUCAGAUUUAAUUGUUCUUGGCCUGCCCUGGAAGACAUCCGAACAGGAUCUGAAAGAAUACUUCAGUACCUUUGGAGAAGUCCUAAUGGUGCAGGUUAAAAGGGAUUUAAAAACUGGCAAUUCCAAGGGUUUUGGCUUUGUAAGAUUUACAGAAUAUGAAACGCAAGGAAAAGUGAUGUCACAGCGGCACAUGAUAGAUGGAAGGUGGUGUGACUGUAAACUACCUAAUUCUAAGCAAAGUCCUGAUGAACCCUUGAGAUGCAGAAAAGUGUUUGUUGGACGCUGCACUGAGGACAUGAGUGCUGAAGAGCUUCGGCAGUUCUUUAUGCAGUAUGGCGAGGUUACAGAUGUCUUCAUACCCAAGCCCUUCCGAGCUUUUGCUUUCGUCACCUUUGCAGAUGACCAGGUUGCCCAGUCCCUUUGUGGAGAGGACCUGAUCAUUAAAGGAAUCAGCGUGCACAUCUCGAAUGCUGAGCCUAAGCACAAUAAUAGUAGGCAAAUGCUAGAAAGAGGGGGGAGAUUUGGGAACAGCCCGGGGUUUGGGAACCAGGCGGCGGGGUUUGGUAAUGGCAGAGGGAGUGGAGUUCAUCUCAUUUCCAAUAUGCCUGGAGGAAGCGCUUCACUGGCAGCAAUGUUCGAGCAAUCUCGGUAUCAGUACCCUUCUUCCCAUGUCUAAAUGCUAUUGUCAUCAAAGAACACAGCUUCACUCUGCAUAAACUGUGUUAGACGGGACCUUGGAUAAGGAGUGAUCUGUCCCAUCAUGGACCCAGGUUCACAUCUGUACCAGGAAGACCCAUCAUUUUUCUGAAGGCCAUUGAAGACCCAAGUCCUAAGGAUUGUUGGUGGUCCCAAACUAGCUAAUGGUGGAUAGUAGCCCAUUCCCUCUUAAAAUAAGCCUUCCUCCACUUAACCAGACUUUGGGAGCUCUCCUUUCACAUACUAACGGACAAUUCAUAGAGCUGAACUGGGGAGGGCAACAAAGAGUCAUGAAAUUAAAUCUUUUAAUGCUGUACACAGGGGGUAAGUAUAUAUGCUUAGUUGGUGGGUGGAGGCAGACAGUUUGGGAAUCUUGUAUUUCUGUGAAAGACUUCAUACUGUGGCUAACAUACUCCCUGUGUAACUUAAACAUCUGUUCGUAACAUUUUUUUUUUUUUUUUAAAUCCUUAAAGGCUAUGGGUUUUGUAUUGUGGCAAAUCCAUGGAAUGUGUUCUUGCAUCUGUUAAGGUUCUUGCUAAAGUGUUUUGAGAUCAAUGAGUGAAUUCAACUCUGCUGAAAAAAAGUACAGCGAUGUAUGUAUAAAUCUGUUUAAUUGUGAUUUAAACACUUAUUUUACAAAGUGGCCUAUAUCGGAGACCCUUUUAUUUUUCUAGUGUGAAUUAAAUAAUUAAGUAAAUGCUGUGCGAUCAGGCCCCUUGUGCUUUUCUUCUAAAUAUUAAAAUAAAACAUGGCCCUUUUAAAUUGUGAUCCAAAUCAGUAACUAAUGUCUUGAGUUACAAAAAUGUGCUGCUGAUAAAUUUUGUAUUUCAUCACCAUGUUUCAGUUUGAGGGCAUGAUUGUACAGAAGGUUGAAGGGGUUGAGAAGCUUUUAUUUGAUUUAAUGUAUAGGCUGUACUUUUUGAGUGAACGCCUGCUGUUUAGGACCCCUUUUGUAAAUGGGACAUGUUGUCCCAAUGGGUUAAUCUGGUGAGAAAAAUGUUAAUAAAUUAAUAAAACUUGGGUUA
Molecule: RNA transcript, 2526 nt
Organism: Polyodon spathula (Mississippi paddlefish)
Lineage: Eukaryota; Metazoa; Chordata; Actinopteri; Acipenseriformes; Polyodontidae
Gene name: TAR DNA-binding protein 43-like
Exons: 7
Source: RefSeq, a predicted model, not a curated record